Molecule: unclassified non-coding RNA, 247 nt
Filed under: plant metagenome
Description: partial contains small subunit ribosomal RNA, internal transcribed spacer 1, and 5.8S ribosomal RNA
Rfam family: Eukaryotic small subunit ribosomal RNA (bases 1-54)
Source: RNAcentral
GGAAGUAAAAGUUGUAACAAGGUCUCCGUUGGUGAACCAGCGGAGGGAUCAUUACAGGACUCGCAAGACUCCUACAACCCUGUGAACUUAACUAUAAGCACGUUGCUUCGGCGGGUGUCUCGGAGGGGGUUCUCCCUCCCCGAGACGCUAAACCCGCCGGCAGCCUACUAUACUCUGUCUCUUUGCGUUGGCAUCUCGAGUACAAUCAAACAAGUUAAAACUUUCAACAGCGGAUCUCUUGGUUCUG